This is a long non-coding RNA of Photinus pyralis (common eastern firefly), 855 nucleotides long. RefSeq lists it as uncharacterized. NCBI's taxonomy places the organism in Eukaryota, Metazoa, Arthropoda, Insecta, Coleoptera, Lampyridae. The transcript has 3 exons. The record is from RefSeq and is a predicted model, not a curated record.
UGAUCGCAACUCACAAUGCCUGAACGCCGGCUGCGGGUAGCAGCGUCCUGUGGUCCAAAACGGAAUGAAUAAGGCUAAAGGAUUCCAGAAGGGCAGCCUUAUAAAGGUAGGAUUUUUCCUGUUCUAAGCAUGACUUGUUGCAUUUAUUUUGUGUAUUUAGCAGUGGGGGAAAAGUGAAUAGUGUAUAAAGUGACUAAAAUAAGAAUCAACGAAUAAUUUUAGCCGAUCUUCGUAUUGUAGUUCUAACUGAGUUGUGGUUAACUCUUUCAGCGUUAAUCUUUGUGGCGUAAUAGACUGGCAGCAGUAAUUCUUGGAAUGGUCAUCAGCAGUUCACUCCAUAUGAAUUGUUAUGGCCAUGAAUUCAUAGCCAUACUAAUUUAGUGAAGUGAACAGUUUUCCUCCGCGAGGAAGUACUGCAGCCAGUCAUUAUGUUUCCAAUGAACAUGUCUUGGAGGUUGAUCAUACCCCAUUUAGUAUUGCGUGAAGAUCAGGUUUUUGGUUUUCAAAGGAAGGUGAGUAAUCGUUACAGAAGUGUACGUUUAUGUAAUAAUUAGAUACUCUCAGAUGAUUAAUCGUAAGUCAUCUUUGAUUAUCUAGCUAAUUAUUGAACAAACACACUUUAUGAGUAUACUUUGGCGGGUAUACUAAUCUCAUUGAUUGUCCACAGAUGACUGGAUUCAAGUCUACCCUAAUCCUGGUGAUCUCAACUUUCAAUUGAACUAGUGUUUGGAAUAUCUCACCGGUCCCGCUUGCCAGUGGUCCACGAACGUGUACGAGUACAGUUGGCGAUCCUCAGCCGACAACUCUCCCCAACCAUGACGAUUAAGAACGACAUGAUCUUCACGCAAAUAGAGG